UUAAUGGCCGCGGUAUUUUGACCGUGCGAAGGUAGCGUAAUCACUUGUCUUCUAAAUAAAGACCCGUAUGAAUGGCAAGACGAGGGCUUAACUGUCUCCUUUUUCAAGUCAAUGAAAUUGAUCUUCCCGUGCAGAAGCGGGAAUCUACCCAUAAGACGAGAAGACCCCGUGGAGCUUUAGACACCCAGAUAAAUCAUGUCAAAACCUCCUAACAAAGAACUGAACCAAAUGAAAUUUAUCUAAUAUGUCUUCGGUUGGGGCGACCACGGAGAAAAACAAAACCCCCGCGUGGACUGGGAGCACCCUCCUACAGAUAAGAGCCUCCACUCUAAUAAACAGAACUUCUGACCAAUAAUGAUCCGGCAAUGCCGAUCAACGAACCAAGUUACCCCAGGGAUAACAGCGCAAUCCUCUUUUAGAGCCCAUAUCGACAAGAGGGUUUACGACCUCGAUGUUGGAUCAGGACAUCCUAAU
Molecule: ribosomal RNA, 474 nt
Filed under: Pachyurus sp. 'Para'
Lineage: Eukaryota; Metazoa; Chordata; Actinopteri; Sciaenidae
Description: partial 16S ribosomal RNA
Rfam family: Bacterial large subunit ribosomal RNA
Source: RNAcentral